CCUGAUGGUUAGCGGCGGACGGGUGAGUAACACGUAGGCAACCUGCCUGCAAGACCGGGAUAACCCACGGAAACGUGAGCUAAUACCGGAUAUCUCAUUUCCUCUCCUGAGGGGAUGAUGAAAGACGGAGCAAUCUGUCACUUGCGGAUGGGCCUGCGGCGCAUUAGCUAGUUGGUGAGGUAACGGCUCACCAAGGCGACGAUGCGUAGCCGACCUGAGAGGGUGAACGGCCACACUGGGACUGAGACACGGCCCAGACUCCUACGGGAGGCAGCAGUAGGGAAUCUUCCGCAAUGGGCGAAAGCCUGACGGAGCAACGCCGCGUGAGUGAUGAAGGUUUUCGGAUCGUAAAGCUCUGUUGCCAGGGAAGAACGUCCGAUAGAGUAACUGCUAUCGGAGUGACGGUACCUGAGAAGAAAGCCCCGGCUAACUACGUGCCAGCAGCCGCGGUAAUACGUAGGGGGCAAGCGUUGUCCGGAAUUAUUGGGCGUAAAGCGCGCGCAGGCGGUCAUUUAAGUCUGGUGUUUAAGGCCAAGGCUCAACCUUGGUUCGCACUGGAAACU
Molecule: ribosomal RNA, 563 nt
Filed under: Paenibacillus sp.
Lineage: Bacteria; Bacillati; Bacillota; Bacilli; Caryophanales; Paenibacillaceae
Description: bacterial SSU rRNA
Rfam family: Bacterial small subunit ribosomal RNA
Source: RNAcentral